RNAcentral lists this ribosomal RNA (466 nucleotides) under uncultured bacterium. RNAcentral's name for it is "partial 16S ribosomal RNA". It matches the Rfam family "Bacterial small subunit ribosomal RNA", at positions 28 to 507 of the family's 1533-position model. The record is from RNAcentral.
GACGAACGCUGGCGGCGUGCUUAACACAUGCAAGUCGAACGGUAAGGCUCCAGCUUGCUGGGGUACACGAGUGGCGAACGGGUGAGUAACACGUGGGUGACCUGCCCUGCACUUCGGGAUAAGCCUGGGAAACUGGGUCUAAUACCGGAUAGGACCAUGGUGUGGAUACUGUGGUGGAAAGUUUUUUCGGUGAGGGAUGGGCCCGCGGCCUAUCAGCUUGUUGGUGGGGUAAUGGCCUACCAAGGCGGCGACGGGUAGCCGGCCUGAGAGGGUGGACGGCCACAUUGGGACUGAGACACGGCCCAGACUCCUACGGGAGGCAGCAGUGGGGAAUAUUGCACAAUGGGCGGAAGCCUGAUGCAGCGACGCCGCGUGGGGGAUGACGGCCUUCGGGUUGUAAACUCCUUUCACCAUCGACGAAGGGUUUCUGACGGUAGAUGGAGAAGAAGCACCGGCUAACUACGUG